Molecule: unclassified non-coding RNA, 486 nt
Filed under: Trichophyton benhamiae
Lineage: Eukaryota; Fungi; Ascomycota; Eurotiomycetes; Onygenales; Arthrodermataceae
Description: contains 16S-23S intergenic spacer region
Rfam family: 5.8S ribosomal RNA (bases 154-307)
Source: RNAcentral
CCUUCUCGGUUGCCUCGGCGGGCCGCGCUCUCCUGGGAGAGUCGUCCGCCGAGCCUCUUUGGGGGCUUUAGCUGGAUCGCGCCCGCCGGAGGACAGACAUCAAAAAAUCUUGGAAAGCUGUCAGUCUGAGCGUUAGCAAGUAAAAUCAGUUAAAACUUUCAACAACGGAUCUCUUGGUUCCGGCAUCGAUGAAGAACGCAGCGAAAUGCGAUAAGUAAUGUGAAUUGCAGAAUUCCGUGAAUCAUCGAAUCUUUGAACGCACAUUGCGCCCUCUGGUAUUCCGGGGGGCAUGCCUGUUCGAGCGUCAUUUCAACCCCUCAAGCCCGGCUUGUGUGAUGGACGACCGUCCGGCCCCCUCUUUCGGGGGCGGGACGCGCCCGAAAAGCAGUGGCCAGGCCGCGAUCCGGCUUCCUGGGCGAAUGGGCAGUCAAACCAGCGCCCUCGGACCGGCCGCUCUGGCCUUCCCCCAAACUCUCUGAAUUUUUU